RNAcentral lists this ribosomal RNA (301 nucleotides) under uncultured bacterium. Its description in RNAcentral is "partial 16S ribosomal RNA". It matches the Rfam family "Bacterial small subunit ribosomal RNA", at positions 509 to 807 of the family's 1533-position model. The record is from RNAcentral.
CAGCCGCCGCGGUAAGACGAACCGUGCGAACGUUAUUCGGAAUCACUGGGCUUAAAGCGCGUGUAGGCGGGAGGGCACGUCCGUCGCUGAAAUCCCCCGGCUCAACCGGGGAACGGGCGCGGAUACGACUCUUCUGGAGGAACGUAGGGGGACCUGGAACUUCCGGUGGAGCGGUGAAAUGCGUUGAGAUCGGAAGGAACGCCCGUGGCGAAAGCGAGGUCCUGGACGUUUACUGACGCUGAGACGCGAAAGCCAGGGGAGCGAACGGGAUUAGAGACCCCCGUAGUCCCUGUCUCUUAUA